This 422-nucleotide ribosomal RNA is filed under the name uncultured bacterium. RNAcentral describes it as "bacterial SSU rRNA". It matches the Rfam family "Bacterial small subunit ribosomal RNA", at positions 917 to 1338 of the family's 1533-position model. The record is from RNAcentral.
GGGCCCGCACAAGCGGUGGAGUAUGUGGUUUAAUUCGAUGCAACGCGAAGAACCUUACCAGGGUUUGACAUCCUGCGAAUCUCUUGGAAACGAGAGAGUGCCUUCGGGAACGCAGUGACAGGUGGUGCAUGGCUGUCGUCAGCUCGUGUCGUGAGAUGUUGGGUUAAGUCCCGUAACGAGCGCAACCCUUGUCCUUAGUUGCCAGCACAUUAUGGUGGGCACUCUAUGGAAACUGCCCGUGAUAAGCGGGAGGAAGGUGUGGAUGACGUCAAGUCCUCAUGGCCCUUACGGGUUGGGCUACACACGUGCUACAAUGCUACGGACAAAGGGCAGCAAACUCGCGAGAGCUAGCAAAUCCCAUAAACCGUGGCUCAGUUCAGAUCGUAGGCUGCAACUCGCCUACGUGAAGGAGGAAUCGCUAG